UCGCGGCUUACCACCGGCUUUCCCGUGCAUGUCAAGCCCAGGUAAGGUUCUUCGCGUUGCUUCGAAUUAAACCACAUGCUCCACCGCUUGUGCGGGCCCCCGUCAAUUCCUUUGAGUUUCAGCCUUGCGGCCGUACUCCCCAGGCGGGGCACUUACUGCGUUAGCGACGGCACCGGGAGGGUCGCUCCCCCCGACGCCUAGUGCCCAUCGUUUACGGCGUGGACUAC
This 227-nucleotide unclassified non-coding RNA is filed under the name uncultured Gemmatimonadaceae bacterium. RNAcentral's name for it is "contains 16S-23S intergenic spacer region". Lineage: Bacteria; Pseudomonadati; Gemmatimonadota; Gemmatimonadia; Gemmatimonadales; Gemmatimonadaceae. The record is from RNAcentral.